This 549-nucleotide ribosomal RNA is filed under the name uncultured bacterium. RNAcentral's name for it is "bacterial SSU rRNA". It matches the Rfam family "Bacterial small subunit ribosomal RNA", at positions 355 to 896 of the family's 1533-position model. The record is from RNAcentral.
UGGGGAAUAUUGGACAAUGGGCGAAAGCCUGAUCCAGCCAUGCCGCGUGUGUGAAGAAGGCCUUUUGGUUGUAAAGCACUUUAAGUGGGGAGGAAAAGCUUAUGGUUAAUACCCAUAAGCCCUGACGUUACCCACAGAAUAAGCACCGGCUAACUCUGUGCCAGCAGCCGCGGUAAUACAGAGGGUGCAAGCGUUAAUCGGAAUUACUGGGCGUAAAGCGCGCGUAGGUGGUUAUUUAAGUCAGAUGUGAAAGCCCCGGGCUUAACCUGGGAACUGCAUCUGAUACUGGAUAACUAGAGUAGGUGAGAGGGGAGUAGAAUUCCAGGUGUAGCGGUGAAAUGCGUAGAGAUCUGGAGGAAUACCGAUGGCGAAGGCAGCUCCCUGGCAUCAUACUGACACUGAGGUGCGAAAGCGUGGGUAGCAAACAGGAUUAGAUACCCUGGUAGUCCACGCCGUAAACGAUGUCUACCAGUCGUUGGGUCUUUUAAAGACUUAGUGACGCAGGUAACGCAAUAAGUAGACCGCCUGGGGAGUACGGCCGCAAGGUUA